CGCGUAUACAAUCUACCUCAUACUGAGGGAUAGCCCAGAGAAAUUUGGAUUAACACCUCAUAGUAUUAUUGAAUGGCAUCAUUUAAUAAUUAAAGGUUACGGUAUGAGAUGAGUAUGCGUUCUAUUAGCUAGUUGGUAUGGUAACGGCAUACCAAGGCAACGAUAGAUAGGGGCCCUGAGAGGGGGAUCCCCCACACUGGUACUGAGACACGGACCAGACUCCUACGGGAGGCAGCAGUGAGGAAUAUUGGACAAUGGAGGCAACUCUGAUCCAGCCAUGCCGCGUGCAGGAAGACUGCC
Molecule: ribosomal RNA, 300 nt
Filed under: uncultured Flavobacteriaceae bacterium
Lineage: Bacteria; Pseudomonadati; Bacteroidota; Flavobacteriia; Flavobacteriales; Flavobacteriaceae
Description: bacterial SSU rRNA
Rfam family: Bacterial small subunit ribosomal RNA
Source: RNAcentral